GAACAAGAAGAUCUUCUCUCUCAGAUCCAACAAACCAGAGGAAGCUCAAACUACAGCCUCUCCACAGAACAAGAGCACAUAUGGAGGUUGGCUGUGGGCAGUGAGGGCGGCUGUAGCUGCAGUACUUCUCACUGUGGUGGCCCUGGUCACACGGUGGAGAGUCAGAGUGAAGUCUGAGGACACCGGAAACGACCCCCCUGU
Long non-coding RNA from Periophthalmus magnuspinnatus, 201 nucleotides. RefSeq lists it as uncharacterized. The transcript has 4 exons. NCBI's taxonomy places the organism in Eukaryota, Metazoa, Chordata, Actinopteri, Gobiiformes, Gobiidae. The record is from RefSeq and is a predicted model, not a curated record.